Molecule: RNA transcript, 2958 nt
Organism: Phragmites australis (common reed)
Lineage: Eukaryota; Viridiplantae; Streptophyta; Magnoliopsida; Poales; Poaceae
Gene name: arginine-specific demethylase JMJ20
Exons: 12
Source: RefSeq, a predicted model, not a curated record
AACCUAAAGCUGCGCGGCCUCGUCGGCUUGUCACCCCUAUCUCCGGUGACUCCGCGGCUGCGCACUUCCAACUCCACCCCAGCCCCGCGAGCGAAGCUGCCGAAGACCAGCAAGCGUCCCCCUCUCCCCCCGCUUGACCAGAUGGACGGCCGCGUGAAGGUGGUGGGGCAAGUGGAGCGGGUGGUAGGAGAGUCGCUGACCUACGCGGAGUUCGUGAAGCGCUUCAUGGCGCCCAACCGGCCCGUCGUCCUCACGGGGCUCACCUCCUCUUGGCGGUCCCGCGAGGACUGGACGCUCCCCGGACCCGGCGAGCGUCGCCGCCCUGACCUCAGCUUCUUCGCCCGGAACUUCCCCUCUCCUCUCGUCCAGGUCGCCGACUGCUCCUCGACGGAGUUCACGGACCAGAAGCGGUUUGAGAUGUCCAUGCUUGAGUUCAUAGACCACUGGGUUGGGGACUCUCGCGGUGGCUCCAGCGAUGGGGAUCGCGACGGUUCCCUGUUGUACCUCAAAGAUUGGCAUUUCGUUAAGGAGUACCCUGAUUAUGUUGCAUAUACCACACCAACAUUCUUUGUUGAUGAUUGGCUCAACACGUAUCUUGACAGUCAUCCUAUACAUAGAGAUUCUGACAUCACCAAUCAUAAAAAUGAAAUAAACUGUUCUGACUAUCGGUUUGUUUACAUGGGAGCAAAAGGAACCUGGACUCCUCUGCAUGCUGAUGUUUUUAGGUCAUACAGCUGGUCAGCAAAUGUUUGUGGGAGAAAACUAUGGCUGUUUCUACCACCAUCACAAAGUCAUCGUAUAUUUGAUAGGAACAUGAGAUCCUCAGUCUAUAACUUAAAUGAUGAUGUUUCUGAAAAGCAGUUUCCUGAAUUCAAUAAGACAGAAUGGCUAGAGUGCAUUCAGGAGCAGAAUGAAAUCAUAUUUGUGCCCAGUGGAUGGUAUCACCAAGUCCAUAACCUGGAGGAUACUAUAUCUAUAAAUCAUAAUUGGUUCAAUGCCUACAACCUCCAUUGGGUGUGGAACUUACUUUAUGAAGACUACAAAGUUGCAAAAGAAUACAUUGAAGACAUUCGAGAUAUAUGUGAUGAUUUUGAAGGGCUUUGUCAACGGAACUUGGCAGCUAAUACAGGCAUGAAUUUCUAUGAUUUCUUCAUUUUCAUAGUUCGGUUUGCUUUAGCCAAUGUAAUUGAGCUUUACCAUAUUCGGCAGCCAGAGUUUGCUACGUUUUCAACAGAGACUGCACACCAUUUUGUUUGUAAUCUGACGUCAAUUCGUAAUGUUGCAUCAAAAAUGAUAGCUACAGAGGCUUUCACUACUGAGAAUCUUUGUAGUAUCUCAGAAGAUAACCGCAACGCUUUCUCCAAUGUCAAACAAAUAUUAGAAGAGGAGAAUUUCAGAAGGCUAUCGAUGGCACUGUCAAAAGCAUAUGAACAUGACAGAGGGCAAGGAACUUGUCUCAAAUCGUGGGCUUCAGAUCCGAAGGGCUGUUUGUCAGUGACCUGCUUGAAAUCUGAUUGUAAUGUUGUUGAUCACAUUACUUCUUUGAUUUAUGAAGUUUGUGGACCUGAAGAUUUGGUGAGACUAAUCGAUAGUGCUCUCUCUGAUGGAUAGUUCUGGCAUGGUAAACUUGUGCUUGCAUGAAUCCUGAUUCCUGGGAUACUCUGGAUACUCGAUCACUGUUAAAUUUUCACAGCCUGUCCAUUUUGGAAGGACUAUUGUGCAUUGCAUUCCCAUUGGUUGUCUUUGCAGUGCUUACGUUUCAUGAUUACAACCUCCAACCUUGAAGUUUGCUGAUGUGACAUUGUGCAUAACAAUGAAAGUUCAAAAGAUUGCACCAUUUCAUGGCAAUCAGAUUGUUAAAGUCUUGCAUGUAGAAGAAGCUGUCACUAAGGAGCUAAUUGUUGGUCAAUCACUCACCUUUCUUAGAUCUGCAUUCAAGGUGGAUGGAAAAAAUUGACACUGCUUAUAUAUUCAGAUGAUGAAUCCAAAUAUUUUACUACAUUCAACCAAUCAUAGAUGGCAAGGUUGCAAAAGAUAAAAAAUACUAGGUUUUUUUUUCAUAGUUGCUAUGGAUGAUUUCAUUUGCAAAUCAGUGAUUUCUUUUGUUUGCUUUCUUUGUUCUAGCAGACAGGUGGAAAAUCUUGAAAGCAUAGAGUUAAGGGCAGUUUUCUACCAAUCAAGGCUUCAAUCAGUGCUAGCUAUGUUUGUAAGAUGUACUGGACUAUAAUAUGAUGACAAGUUUUAAAAACGAGAACCACUUGAGAUAUCUCGACUCUUCAAGUGUUCAUGCAAGUGAUCUAGAAGCAAGAGCUUCUCGGUUUUGUUGACAGGAGUUGUCGAAAUGUUAUUGCCUGCAAUUACAGCCGUGCCCAAUGUGACUCUCACCUGGAAGGGACAAAUUGUAGUGCUGCAAACCUGAAGCCAUGUCCAGAGGCAGAGGUAUUAAGGCUCGGACUUCUUGGUGGUCUACAGUAAACUGGAACAAACGGGCGAGGUGGUCCUAGUCAGUGAAGGCUGGGAAAAUGGAUUAGAUGCUUCUGCUUUACUGCAACAUGGAUGUAACUUGGACGUGAAGGAAGGGACAGAUGCCUUGGGAGAAAAAGAAGAGAGAAAUUAUACUCCCUACAGUUCUAGAUCCUAGAGAUACAGGAUGGCAUUCCUACCAAUUCCGUCGUUUCAUUGGUUUUCUUAUUCCUUUUCACUUUCUCUUAAUACGCGAUUGAUUGUUUCCCGAGGUGUUCGAUCCUCUUGCUUCAAAUGUUAGUGCCACAUGAUUUUAUUUUUCGAGGCAUUUGAUUGCUCCUUGCUUGAAUGUUAGUACAAGAUUUUACAUGAGGUGCUGUUGCCUGGCGUUGAAGCGCGGCACAAUUUUUUUUCUCUGUUCGCUGAAAUGACGUUAUAUUUUUCUUUUCUUCCUAACCGUUGGAGACUUUGAGUCAGAUCCAAGGAAGAACAUGA